RNAcentral lists this ribosomal RNA (429 nucleotides) under Chloroflexota bacterium. RNAcentral's name for it is "Chloroflexi bacterium partial 16S ribosomal RNA". It matches the Rfam family "Bacterial small subunit ribosomal RNA", at positions 355 to 776 of the family's 1533-position model. The record is from RNAcentral. Lineage: Bacteria; Bacillati; Chloroflexota.
UGGGGAAUAUUGCACAAUGGGCGCAAGCCUGAUGCAGCCAUGCCGCGUGUAUGAAGAAGGCCUUCGGGUUGUAAAGUACUUUCAGCGGGGAGGAAGGGAGUAAAGUUAAUACCUUUGCUCAUUGACGUUACCCGCAGAAGAAGCACCGGCUAACUCCGUGCCAGCAGCCGCGGUAAUACGGAGGGUGCAAGCGUUAAUCGGAAUUACUGGGCGUAAAGCGUACGCAGGCGGUUUGUUAAGUCAGAUGUGAAAGCCCCGGGCUCAACCUGGGAACUGCAUCUGAUACUGGCAAGCUUGAGUCUCGUAGAGGUGGGUAGAAUUCCAGGUGUAGCGGUGAAAUGCGUAGAGAUCUGGAGGAAUACCGGUGGCGAAGGCGGCCCCCUUGACGAAGACUGACGCUCAGGUGCGAAAGCGUGGGGAGCAAACAGG